UUGAUCUCAAAUCAGGUAGGACUACCCGCUGAACUUAUAGCAUAUCAAUAAGCGGAGGAAAAGAAACUAACAAGGAUUCCCCUAGUAACUGCGAGUGAAGCGGGAAGAGCUCAAAUUAUAAAAUCUGGCGUGCCUAUGGUCGUCCGAGUUGUAGUCUGGAGAAGUGUUUUCCGUGUUGGACC
Molecule: ribosomal RNA, 182 nt
Filed under: uncultured fungus
Lineage: Eukaryota; Fungi
Description: partial 28S ribosomal RNA
Rfam family: Eukaryotic large subunit ribosomal RNA
Source: RNAcentral